This 460-nucleotide ribosomal RNA is filed under the name uncultured bacterium. RNAcentral's name for it is "partial 16S ribosomal RNA". It matches the Rfam family "Bacterial small subunit ribosomal RNA", at positions 338 to 795 of the family's 1533-position model. The record is from RNAcentral.
CCUACGGGUGGCAGCAGUGAGGAAUAUUGGUCAAUGGACGAGAGUCUGAACCAGCCAAGUAGCGUGAAGGAUGACUGCCCUAUGGGUUGUAAACUUCUUUUAUAUGGGAAUAAAAUGUUCCACGUGUGGGAUUUUGUAUGUACCAUAUGAAUAAGGAUCGGCUAACUCCGUGCCAGCAGCCGCGGUAAUACGGAGGAUUCGAGCGUUAUCCGGAUUUAUUGGGUUUAAAGGGAGCGUAGGUGGAUUGUUAAGUCAGUUGUGAAAGUUUGCGGCUCAACCGUAAAAUUGCAGUUGAAACUGGCAGUCUUGAGUACAGUAGAGGUGGGCGGAAUUCGUGGUGUAGCGGUGAAAUGCUUAGAUAUCACGGAGAACUCCGAUUGCGAAGGCAGUUCACUGGACUGCAACUGACACUGAGGCUCGAAAGUGUGGGUAUCAAACAGGAUUAGAUACCCGGGUAGUC